UAUAUAUAUAUUAUUACAUUACGUUUGACUUUAACCACGCAAUAAUGAAUAGAUCGGUCUUUUUGAAUUUUUAUUUCGUUAUUUAAAUUUUUGUGAAAUGGUGUACUAUUUUGUAUUGGAAGCAUUUUUUCUUGAUGUCUUCUUUCUGUGGAAAAGAUUUGUGAAGUAUAAGAAGACUGUAUAAAACAUCGUUUUGAGUUUGCAGAAUACAGAGGUAUCAAUUAUGCCACCCUCAGUUAGCAGAGGGUACGUGACACCCUUUAGCACCUCGUAACUGGAGAUUGUAAGCAGAGAACCGAGGAAGCAAACUAACCAACGUCGUCAGCCCUACAUGGUUUUAAUCGCACGUCCUAUGAAACGAACAUUGGGUGUCGCGUCAUCUGCUACGAACAAAUGUUAAGUAAACCAUGAGAGAAAGGAACGUCACGUGAUGCGAUAAAGCGAGAUUAAUGACGUUCGAGAGUACGAUAAAAAUACUCUGUUGAUCGCAAGAAAGAGUAACGAGAAAGUAAAUGCGAUUGACUAGACUUUCAAAAGAAUAACUUAUUAGAUUCGAUUCUUUCCUUUGAACGGUAGAAUCAGGAAUUCUAACGGACAUCCUGUCAGAAUUUCGAUGUUCACUCGUCGGUGUACAAAGCAAGAAUGAUCGAAUAACUGUUAACGUCGAUCGAAGAUCCGACUAUGUUGACUUCACCCGUAGCUGAAACCGCCAAUUCCAAAAUGAAGGGAAUCCUGUAUAGAAUUUCUAUGUUCCCUCGUUGGAGUACAAAGAAAGAUUGAUCCAGUAAUUGUUAAAGUCAACCAAUAGUUUAGUUUUGUUGAUGUCACGCGUAACUAAGGAUCUCGAGAUUAAAAUUUUUAAGUAUUGAAAUUUCAAAUAAAAAUUAUUGUAAGUUUCUUUCGCGUUACGAUCUUUGUAAUAAUUAAGCGAAUGUAUUAUUGUUUAAAUAUUAGUUUUUUUUGUAUUCCACGAACAUUAAAAACUGUUUAAAUAAUUGUAAAAUUAUCGAAAGUAUUAAUUUCUAAGCUUUUGUUUGGAAAGAUUUUCGAUGUUCUCUCGAAUACAAAAAAAAAAGUAAUUCGAUAUUUUUAUGUAACUAUUCAGUAAAUGCGUGCAUGUAAGUGAAAAAGUAUUUGUUCGUGUACUUUUUCAUUGAAAGUGCACAAAUUCUUUUAAGAAAUUAUGUGUGUAACGUAACAAUUUACACAAGUCAGUAGUGUUCACAAUUGGAAGACAAUGUUCUUCAUUCAUUGUGCUCGAUUGUAUGUAUUUUUGUAAAUGUGUGCAGUAUCUGUGUGACAGCAAACGAGAGUGAAUAUUUUUGUCCGCAUAUUUUGCGAUGAAAUACAAAUAUUUUUGCAAAAAAUGAUAUUAAUUGAUAUGCUAAUGUUUUUUAGAAUUUGUAUAGAUUAGUAAUGUUGGAAAAUCUAGAUUAAAUCUUUUUUUUUUCUUACUUUAUUCCGAUUAAUUUCUCCUUCGUUGCAGUUUCUUUUUCUUCUAAAGCUAUUUGAACUUCUGACUGAAUAAAUAUUCUCGAAUAGAAAUUAUUUAUUAAUUAAUAUUUAUAGAACAAUCUAUAGGCGAGUAUGAUAAAAUAUUGUCCUUUUCGAAUAUUUACGAGAGAGACUAAUCAUAGAAGAAGAAGAUAAAUUCUGUCAUUAUUCUAUUUAUCAAUUAGUUACUUUUUGACUACCGAAAUAAAACAAAGAAGGAACUACGAAAUAGUUUACGCGGGAAAUAUGCUAUAUGCUGUGGCGGGAAUUUUAGAUACUUUAAUAGAAAAUAG
Vespula pensylvanica (western yellowjacket) is the source of this 1787-nucleotide long non-coding RNA. RefSeq lists it as uncharacterized. The transcript has 5 exons. NCBI's taxonomy places the organism in Eukaryota, Metazoa, Arthropoda, Insecta, Hymenoptera, Vespidae. The record is from RefSeq and is a predicted model, not a curated record.